This 558-nucleotide long non-coding RNA is filed under the name Triticum aestivum (bread wheat). Its description in RNAcentral is "long non-coding RNA (TAES_LNC009629)". The record is from RNAcentral. Lineage: Eukaryota; Viridiplantae; Streptophyta; Magnoliopsida; Poales; Poaceae.
UUUUCCGUUGAGGUGACAUGAGCCCUGAGAGUGGCCUAAGACAUCUCUAAGUAACUCGAUUACUUGAAAAACAUCUUUAUUGAUAUUAGUUUAUUAAAUAUAUUUAUUCAACACUGCAUGGCUCAAGCAGGAGAACCAGCAAUUAUUUUAUUGUUCUAUACAACAACAUUUUGGAAUUUGAACAUUAUGGGUCUUGCAAUAGUGUCUGAAUCGAUGCCGCAUUAUACGAUGACACAUGUCUUCACACCUCGGGCUAUUACAGGGAUUGAGAGUCUCACAAACCACAUUAUGAACAGAUUCUGCAAAUGCAACAUGUACACACAGAUCAAACAAGAUAUAUUAGCAAUGUGUUGACUAAUUUGAACAAUAGGAAAGUUCACAAAAAGUAGGGGUAUAAAAUGCAACAUACCAGUGCCUGCAUGGCAGGAUGGGAAGGUAGAACACACCAUGGAAAGCACCAUGAAAGCAAUAGCAAUGGAACACAUGACUGUCGGCCAUCCUCCACUGUUCUUAGCGAGUGCCAUGAGGACAAAGAGAUUAGUGUUUUUCUGCUUCUCC